GACGAACGCUGGCGGCGUGCUUAACACAUGCAAGUCAAGGGGGCCCAGCAAUGGGCAACCGGCGAACGGGUGCGUAACACGUGAGCAACCUACCGAAAUGUGGGGGAUAGCCGGCCUAACGGCCGAGUAAUACCGCAUACGCUUUCCGAGAGGCAUUUCUUGGAAAGGAAACCUACGGGACAUUUCGAGGGGCUCGCGGCCUAUCAGCUAGUUGGCGAGGUAACGGCUCACCAAGGCAACGACGGGUAGCUGGUCUGAGAGGAUGGCCAGCCACAUUGGGACUGAGAUACGGCCCAGACUCCUACGGGGGGCUGCAGUAACGAAUCUUCCGCAAUGCACGAAAGUGUGACGGAGCGACGCCGCGUGUAGGAUGAAGCCCUUC
This 382-nucleotide ribosomal RNA is filed under the name uncultured bacterium. Its description in RNAcentral is "bacterial SSU rRNA". It matches the Rfam family "Bacterial small subunit ribosomal RNA", at positions 28 to 419 of the family's 1533-position model. The record is from RNAcentral.